This 252-nucleotide ribosomal RNA is filed under the name uncultured bacterium. RNAcentral describes it as "partial 16S ribosomal RNA". It matches the Rfam family "Bacterial small subunit ribosomal RNA", at positions 524 to 776 of the family's 1533-position model. The record is from RNAcentral.
UACGGGGGGAGCAAACGUUGUUCGGAAUCACUGGCGUAAAGGGCGUGUAGGCGGCUGGAUAAGUGGGAUGUUAAAUCCCCCGGCUCAACCGGGGACCUGCAUCUCAUACUGUUCAGCUCGAGCACAUCAGAGGAGACUGGAAUUCCCGGUGUAGCGGUGAAAUGUGUAGAGAUCGGGAGGAACACCGGUGGCGAAGGCGGGUCUCUGGACAGUUCCUGACGCUGAGGCACGAAGGUCAGGGGAGCAAACGGG